GCCGGAGGACUGAAGACUGAAGACUGAAGUUGCCGACUGUUGACGAAUUAAGGCAGAGUCAAAUACUGAUAUUUGACUAACCAGUCCAAGAAUCAGUUACGACUGAUUACUUAAUGCGAGCCACGUGGAUUCAGCGACUAUACUAAAGUCAAGUAUCAGUUAAACAUUCUUCCUCGGACUGAAGCUCCAAAGCUUAAAGGAAGCCACGCACUCCAGAAGUACAGC
Molecule: long non-coding RNA, 225 nt
Filed under: Salvia miltiorrhiza (redroot sage)
Lineage: Eukaryota; Viridiplantae; Streptophyta; Magnoliopsida; Lamiales; Lamiaceae
Description: long non-coding RNA (SMIL_LNC002843)
Source: RNAcentral